This 92-nucleotide ribosomal RNA is filed under the name Pantoea sp. Acro-807. Its description in RNAcentral is "partial 16S ribosomal RNA". It matches the Rfam family "Bacterial small subunit ribosomal RNA", at positions 1 to 86 of the family's 1533-position model. The record is from RNAcentral. Lineage: Bacteria; Pseudomonadati; Pseudomonadota; Gammaproteobacteria; Enterobacterales; Erwiniaceae.
UUAAAUUGAAGAGUUUGAUCAUGGCUCAGAUUGAACGCUGGCGGCAGGCCUAACACAUGCAAGUCGGACGGUAGCACAGGGGAGCUUGCUCC